AUGGGCGGCUACGAGAACGGUGACUCGCCGGCGGCCGCCGCCUGGGAGGGCGGCGUGAUCCUGGGCGUGGACGGAGGCACCACCAGCACCGUCUGCGUCUGCCUGCCGGCCGCAAUGCCACCACCGGAGGCGCCCGGCUCAGUCGCCGUGCUCUCCCGCGCCAUCGCCGGCUGCUCCAACCGUAAUUCCGUCGGAGAAAACGCUGCACUGGAAACUCUAGAACAGGUCAUGAUGCAGGCCCUAACAACGGCCAACACAGAUCGUUCUGCUGUUGUUGCAGUUUGCUUAUCUGUAUCUGGGGUGAACCAUCCUUCAGAUCAGCAGAGGAUGCUGGACUGGAUCUGCAACCUAUUCCCUGGAAAUGCCAAGUUUUAUGUGGAAAAUGAUGCGGUGGCAGCUUUAGCCAGUGGUACAAUGGGAAAGCUACAUGGCUGUGUAUUGAUUGCUGGCACAGGAAGCAUUGCUUAUGGGGUCACCGAAGAUGGAAAAGUAGCGAGAGCAGCUGGUGCCGGUCCUGUCUUAGGCGACUGGGGUAGUGGCUAUGGCAUUGCUGCACAGGCCCUCACAGCAGUAAUAAAAGCACAUGAUGGCCGUGGACCACAAACUAAUCUUACAAGAGAUAUCAUUAGGAAGCUUGAAAUUUCUUCACCAGAUGAGUUGAUUGGUGUCUGGCACAGGUGGGCAUAUGCGGAUCCAUCUUGGGCCCGUAUUGCAGCUCUUGUACCUGUUGUGGUAUCUGCUGCUGAAGAUGGUGACAAAGUAGCAAACACGAUACUGCAUGAUGCAGUGCAAGAGUUGGCUGAAAGCGUUGUAGCUGUUGUUCGGCGCCUUACAUUGUGUGGUGAAGAUGGGAAAGACCAAUUUCCACUUGUAUUGGUUGGAGGUGUUCUCGAAGGAAAUAAGAAAUGGGACAUCAGUGGUGAGGUCAUAAAAUGCAUUUCCAAAGUCUUCCCAGGUGUCUGUCCUAUUCGGCCCGAGGUGGAACCUGCAAUUGGUGCGGCGUUGCUAGCUUGGAGCCAUCUUCGUAAAGAGUCAAAGCUGCAAAAUGGCAGCUGA
RNAcentral lists this ribosomal RNA (1056 nucleotides) under Triticum aestivum (bread wheat). Its description in RNAcentral is "partial small subunit ribosomal RNA". Lineage: Eukaryota; Viridiplantae; Streptophyta; Magnoliopsida; Poales; Poaceae. The record is from RNAcentral.